AAUGGGAUCAUCUGAAGUUAAAAGCCUUGGAGCUGUGUUGGCUAUGCUGUGACCACAAGGUGUGGGUCGCAUUUCUAUGGAUAAGGUGCUAAUACCCAAAGAUGUCAGAAUGGUAAAUUAGAACGAGAUUUUGCCUUUAAAGACCUUAUGGAGCCACAGCCAAGCAGAAACCACCUACCUCCAGUCUUCUUGUUGUACAAGAAAAUUAACAUGUUUUAAAAUAUAAGCCUGUGGCUCUCAAAGUGUGGUCCUCUGACCAACAGCAUCAAGAUUAUCUGGGAACCUUCUGAAAAUGCAAAUUCUCUGGCCCCACCCCAAUGUCAUGAAUCUGCAUCUCAGAGUCCAGUGAUACUGAAGCAUGCCCAAACUUUAGGGUCACUGUGAUCACAGUACAGUUUCUGUCAAAGGCAUUCCUAGCUGAAUCUGCAUACAAAUAUGUGUAGACCAGUGAAAAGAUCUAAAGUAUUCCCUAGAAGUUGCUUGAUUGAGUCCCUGUUAUUAGUUUGAUUUCUUAAUAUUUACCUCUUUUUUGUGAGUAAGCCUAUCUCCAGAGGGUGAACUUGCUGUUUUGUGUGUGUGUGUGGGGGGGGGGGGGUUUUAUAUAAAAAAUAUAUAUAUAUAUACAGAUUUUGUGUGCAUAUAUAUAUAUAUAUAUACACACACAUAAAUUAUUGUGUGAAACUUAAUGCUUCCUUUUCCUAAAUUGUGUUCUUGUCCUUGAUAGAACCUUCGUUUUCACUUUACUGGAAGCCUCUCACUUCCUAGCAUCAUUCCAAUACAAUAUUAUUUAAACAUUAGUUAAAGACUUCCAUUUCCAGAUGACUUUAAAACCCAUUCCUUAAACAAAUUUGAUUAUCAAGAAAUAUGGCCAUCUCAUAGAUCUUCAGAAUACUCUCACUAACUACCAUUACUGCUAGGACACACUUUUGCAUCUAAGGGUGAGAAUGGGAAGCCAUCUGUGCCUACACUGGGGACUACCAAAUACUUUUGAUGCACUUUCGGAUCCUGUGCAUGUUAUUCUGAUUCCAAAGAAAAGAGUUGGUGGCUGAACAGGUGUGAAGUCAAGAAAUCCAGUUUAUGAUGAGGCUCUUUCAGACAGCUCUGGGUCCUCUCUGAUGGAUACCAUAAAGAGAUGCAAGGUUACUGGGGACAUGGGACAAGGGCAGAGGGGCUAGAGACCUUGUAUUCCUCUGUGCUUCCUAUCUCCCAGCUAUUUAGAACCCAACACUAGAGGAAGCUAAAUGAAAAUUUUGCAGAAGACUCCUUGUUUGCUUUCACUAGGACUCUUGACUCCCUCCUCCUCCCGUCUGCGCCUCAUCUUUUGUUUCGAAUAUUAAAGACAAAUGUUUUAUGGAGCAACAUCUCAACACCACUUUACUGUGAGAAGCACUUUACAUAUAUUAUCUUAUUUCCUUUAUUUUAUCUAAUUUCCCCCUUUUCAAUUUUGCUUCUUCAUUCUUUAAGUAUUCUUCCUCUAUUUUGUUUUUCUUUUUUUGUCUUUAUUUAUAUUUCCGUUAAAAACAAUACUUUCACAUCCUUUUGAAAUUAUAUCUAUUCUUGGUUCAGCUUAGAAUUUUUGUUCUUAAUCUAUAUUUAUAUUUUUUUAUAAAAGACUAAUGGCUCCAGCUUCCCUCCUAUCCCCUAGCGCCCCUCCGGCUGCACCGCGCUGGCUCCCAAGCUGGCAUCACCCUCGUCUCCCUUCAGCUGCCGUCAUGAUUGUCUACCGGGACCUCAGCAGCCACCAAAAGAUGUUCUCCAACAUCUACAAGAUCCGAGCGAUCGCGGACGGGCUGUGCCUGGAGGCGGAAGGGAAAAUGGGGUAUCAGUAGGAUAGAAGGUAACAUUGAUGCCUUGCUCAUUGGUGGAAAUGCCUCCGCUGAAGGCCCCGAGGGCAAAGGUACAUAACCAUGGUAAUCACUGGUGUCGAUAUUGUCAUGAACCAUCACCUGCUGGAAACAAGUUUCACCAAAAAAGCCUACAAGAAAUGCAUCAAAGAUUACAUACUGGAUUACUGUGAGGUUGGUGUGACCCCAUAUAUGAUUUUCUUCAAGGAUGGUUUAGAAAUGGAAAAAUGUUAAGAAAUUUGGCAGUUACUUUGGAUCUCUCACCUGUCAUCAUUACUGGUUUCUGCUUAUCAUCCAUACAACACCAAGACUUAAGACAAAUGGGAUUAAUUUCAUCCUGAGCUCUUCAUUUAUUCUGACCAUGAUUUAUUUGGAGUGGAAGCAUCAUUUUUAAGAAAACUAUGACAUUUAGGUUGUCUAAAAAUAAAAUACAUUUAAACU
Sapajus apella (tufted capuchin) is the source of this 2285-nucleotide RNA transcript. It is a transcript of the gene named translationally-controlled tumor protein pseudogene, with no coding region annotated. The record is from RefSeq and is a predicted model, not a curated record. Lineage: Eukaryota; Metazoa; Chordata; Mammalia; Primates; Cebidae. The transcript has a single exon.